UGAGGAAUAUUGGUCAAUGGGCGAGAGCCUGAACCAGCCAAGUAGCGUGCAGGACGACGGCCCUAUGGGUUGUAAACUGCUUUUAUAAGGGAAUAAAGUGAGUCUCGUGAGACUUUUUGCAUGUACCUUAUGAAUAAGGACCGGCUAAUUCCGUGCCAGCAGCCGCGGUAAUACGGAAGGUCCGGGCGUUAUCCGGAUUUAUUGGGUUUAAAGGGAGCGUAGGCCGGAGAUUAAGCGUGUUGUGAAAUGUAGUCGGCUCAACCUCUGCACUGCAGCGCGAACUGG
RNAcentral lists this ribosomal RNA (285 nucleotides) under uncultured Prevotella sp. RNAcentral describes it as "partial 16S ribosomal RNA". It matches the Rfam family "Bacterial small subunit ribosomal RNA", at positions 355 to 636 of the family's 1533-position model. The record is from RNAcentral. Lineage: Bacteria; Pseudomonadati; Bacteroidota; Bacteroidia; Bacteroidales; Prevotellaceae.